CCUACGGGGUGCAGCAGUCGAGAAUCAUUCACAAUGGGGGAAACCCUGAUGGUGCGACGCCGCGUGGGGGAAUGUAGGUCUUCGGAUUGUAAACCCCUGUCAUGUGGGAGCAAAUUAAAAAGAUAGUACCACAAGAGGAAGAGACGGCUAACUCUGUGCCAGCCGCCGCGGUAAUACAGAGGUCUCAAGCGUUGUUCGGAAUCACUGGGCGUAAAGCGUGCGUAGGCUGUUUCGUAAGUCGUGUGUGAAAGGCGCGGGCUCAACCCGCGGACGGCACAUGAUACUGCGAGACGAGAGGAAUGGAGGGGGAACCGGAAUUCUCGGUGUAGCAGUGAAAUGCGUAGAUAUCGAGAGGAACACUCGUGGCGAAGGCGGGUUCCUGGACAUUAACUGACGCUGAGGCACGAAGGCCAGGGGAGCGAAAGGGAUUAGAUACCCUGGUAGUC
RNAcentral lists this ribosomal RNA (446 nucleotides) under uncultured bacterium. Its description in RNAcentral is "partial 16S ribosomal RNA". It matches the Rfam family "Bacterial small subunit ribosomal RNA", at positions 338 to 795 of the family's 1533-position model. The record is from RNAcentral.